CUUGCCCCUAGAGGCUUUGCAGGUGUGGCUGCAGUGUGUCACGUGUAUAUCAUUAGGUGGCAGAGAGGAGUGAGGCUAUGUCUAUGUUCAGUGUUCUGACCUAUAAACAUCUGAAUGUUUAGUAAUGUAACUAA
Small nucleolar RNA from Grammomys surdaster, 134 nucleotides. RefSeq annotates it as small nucleolar RNA SNORA17. The record is from RefSeq and is a predicted model, not a curated record. Lineage: Eukaryota; Metazoa; Chordata; Mammalia; Rodentia; Muridae. The transcript has a single exon.